Molecule: ribosomal RNA, 433 nt
Filed under: uncultured bacterium
Lineage: Bacteria
Description: partial 16S ribosomal RNA
Rfam family: Bacterial small subunit ribosomal RNA
Source: RNAcentral
AACGAACGCUGGCGGCAUGCCUAACACAUGCAAGUCGAACGAGACCUUCGGGUCUAGUGGCGCACGGGUGCGUAACGCGUGGGAACCUGCCCUUAGGUUCGGAAUAACUCCCCGAAAGGGGUGCUAAUACCGGAUAAUGUCUUCGGACCAAAGAUUUAUCGCCUUUGGAUGGGCCCGCGUUGGAUUAGCUAGUUGGUAGGGUAAAAGCCUACCAAGGCGACGAUCCAUAGCUGGUCUGAGAGGAUGAUCAGCCACACUGGGACUGAGACACGGCCCAGACUCGUACGGGAGGCAGCUGUGGGGAAUAUUGGACAAUGGGCGAAAGACUGAUCCAGCAAUGCCGCGUGAGUGAUGAAGGCCUUAGGGUUGUAAAGCUCUUUUACCCGGGAUGAUAAUGACAGUACCGGGAGAAUAAGCUCCGGCUAACUCCGUG